This 655-nucleotide ribosomal RNA is filed under the name uncultured Desulfobacterium sp. Its description in RNAcentral is "bacterial SSU rRNA". It matches the Rfam family "Bacterial small subunit ribosomal RNA", at positions 28 to 656 of the family's 1533-position model. Lineage: Bacteria; Pseudomonadati; Thermodesulfobacteriota; Desulfobacteria; Desulfobacterales; Desulfobacteriaceae. The record is from RNAcentral.
AAUGAACGCUGGCGGCGUGCUUAACACAUGCAAGUCGAACGAGAAAGGCCCUGCUUGCAGGGCCGAGUAGAGUGGCGCACGGGUGAGUAACACGUGGAUAAUCUACCUUCAAAUCGGGAAUAACUGUUCGAAAGGGCAGCUAAUACCGGAUAAAGUCUUUAUGACUUGGGUUGUAUUGAUGAAAGGGAGCCUCUGAUUUAAGCCUCUGUUUGGAGAUGAGUCCGCGCACCAUUAGCUAGUUGGUGGGGUAAAGGCCUACCAAGGCUACGAUGGUUAGCUGGUCUGAGAGGAUGAUCAGCCACACUGGAACUGACACACGGUCCAGACUCCUACGGGAGGCAGCAGUGAGGAAUUUUGCGCAAUGGGGGCAACCCUGACGCAGCAACGCCGCGUGAGUGAAGAAGGCCCUUGGGUCGUAAAGCUCUGUCAAUGGGGAAGAAGUUACGGUGUGUUAAUAGCAUAUUGUAUUGACGGUACCCAUGAAGGAAGCACCGGCUAACUCCGUGCCAGCAGCCGCGGUAAUACGGGGGGUGCAAGCGUUAUUCGGAAUUAUUGGGCGUAAAGGGCACGCAGGCGGUCCUGUCAGUCAGAUGUGAAAGCCCGGGGCUCAACCCCGGAAGAGCAUUUGAAACAGCAGGACUUGAGUACGGUAGAG